Molecule: ribosomal RNA, 662 nt
Filed under: uncultured fungus
Lineage: Eukaryota; Fungi
Description: eukaryotic LSU rRNA
Rfam family: 5.8S ribosomal RNA (bases 240-393)
Source: RNAcentral
UAAGCUGGUUGGGUUGUUGCUGGCUCUCCGGGGCAUGUGCACACCUGCACACCAACUUUUUACCACCUGUGCACCUUUUGUAGACCUGGAUAAACUCUCGAGGAAACUCGGUUUGAGGGACUGCUGUGCGUAAAAGCCAGCUUUCCUUGUAAUCUCUGGUCUAUGUUUUUAUAUGUAUACCCCCUAUAGUAUGUCUAAGAAUGUUUGUUGUUGGGCUUCAAUGCCUUCAAACUUAAUACAACUUUCAACAACGGAUCUCUUGGCUCUCGCAUCGAUGAAGAACGCAGCGAAAUGCGAUAAGUAAUGUGAAUUGCAGAAUUCAGUGAAUCAUCGAAUCUUUGAACGCACCUUGCGCUCCUUGGUAUUCCGAGGAGCAUGCCUGUUUGAGUGUCAUGAAAUUCUCAACCUUUUCAGCUUUGUUCGUUGAUCAGGCUUGGAUGUGGGAGUAUGCGGGCUUCUCAGAAGUCGGCUCUCCUUAAAUUCAUUAGCAGGACCCUUUGUUGCCUGGCUUUGGUGUGAUAAUUAUCUACGCCAUUGUGGUCAAGCAGCUUAAAAUGGGGUUCCAGCUUCUAAUCGUCUCCCUUGAGACAACUUUCUGACAAUUUGACCUCAAAUCAGGUAGGACUACCCGCCGAACUUAAGCAUAUCAAUAAGCCGGAGGA